Felis catus (domestic cat) is the source of this 85-nucleotide non-coding RNA. Lineage: Eukaryota; Metazoa; Chordata; Mammalia; Carnivora; Felidae. The record is from Rfam.
ACCUGGGUGGCUCAGUCAGUUGAGCACCUGACUUUGGCUCAGGUCACGAUCACACAGUUCGUGGGCUCGAGCCCCGCGUCGGGCU